Molecule: unclassified non-coding RNA, 313 nt
Filed under: plant metagenome
Description: partial contains 5.8S ribosomal RNA, internal transcribed spacer 2, and large subunit ribosomal RNA
Rfam family: 5.8S ribosomal RNA (bases 1-103)
Source: RNAcentral
AACUGCGAUAAGUAAUGUGAAUUGCAGAAUUCAGUGAAUCAUCGAGUCUUUGAACGCACAUUGCGCCCCCUGGCAUUCCGGGGGCAUGCCUGUCCGAGCGUCAUUGCUGCCCUUCAAGCCCGGCUUGUGUGUUGGGUCGUCGUCCCCUCCGGGGGACGGGCCCGAAAGGCAGCGGCGGCACCGCGUCCGGUCCUCGAGCGUAUGGGGCUUUGUCACCCGCUCGAUAAGGACCGGCCGGGCGCCAGCCGGCGUCUCCAACCUUUUUUUCUCAGGUUGACCUCGGAUCAGGUAGGGAUACCCGCUGAACUUAAGC